CCGCUAUACAACAAUGGUAAAGGUGGUCCUAAUAGGCCGAGAUCAGACUGAAUGAUUUUUUACUGUAUGCCUUGAAUUUUGGCAUACUUUUCCUCGACCAUAUAAUCGGUGAGCUUUCCAUUUCAUAUAUGAAGCCUGCCAUUCUAAUUUUGGUUUCUCCAUGGUCAUUUGAAUCUGAAAUGGAGAAGAGGUGGAGGAUGUGAUGAAUUGCCCGGCG
This 217-nucleotide unclassified non-coding RNA is filed under the name Hevea brasiliensis (rubber tree). The record is from RNAcentral. Lineage: Eukaryota; Viridiplantae; Streptophyta; Magnoliopsida; Malpighiales; Euphorbiaceae.